RNAcentral lists this ribosomal RNA (482 nucleotides) under uncultured bacterium. RNAcentral's name for it is "bacterial SSU rRNA". It matches the Rfam family "Bacterial small subunit ribosomal RNA", at positions 29 to 506 of the family's 1533-position model. The record is from RNAcentral.
UUGAACGCUGGCGGAAUGCUUUACACAUGCAAGUCGAGCGGCAGCGCGGGGGCAACCCUGGCGGCGAGCGGCGAACGGGUGAGUAAUGUAUCGGAACGUACCUCGUCGUGGGGGAUAACGCAGCGAAAGUUGUGCUAAUACCGCAUACGUCCUGAGGGAGAAAGCGGGGGACCGUAAGGCCUCGCGCGAUGAGAGCGGCCGAUAUCUGAUUAGCUAGUUGGUGGGGUAAAGGCUCACCAAGGCGACGAUCAGUAGCUGGUCUGAGAGGACGACCAGCCACACUGGGACUGAGACACGGCCCAGACUCCUACGGGAGGCAGCAGUGGGGAAUUUUGGACAAUGGGGGCAACCCUGAUCCAGCCAUGCCGCGUGAGUGAAGAAGGCCUUCGGGUUGUAAAGCUCUUUCAGACGGAAAGAAAACGCAUCGGUGAAUACCCGGUGUGGAUGACGGUACCGUAGGAAGAAGCACCGGCUAACUACGU